RNAcentral lists this ribosomal RNA (734 nucleotides) under eukaryote SCGC AAA074-E15. Its description in RNAcentral is "bacterial SSU rRNA". It matches the Rfam family "Bacterial small subunit ribosomal RNA", at positions 89 to 853 of the family's 1533-position model. The record is from RNAcentral.
UUUUUAGUGGCGAACGGGUGAGUAACACGUGAGAAUCUGCCUUUAGGAAGAGGAUAACAUUUAGAAAUAUUUGCUAAUACUCUAUAUGCUUUACAGUGAAAGAAUUUAUUCGCCUAAAGAGGAGCUCGCGUCUGAUUAGCUAGUUGGUAGGGUAAAGGCCUACCAAGGCGACGAUCAGUAGUUGGUCUGAGAGGACGGCCAGCCACAUUGGAACUGAGACACGGUCCAGACUCUUACGGGAGGCAGCAGUGAGGAAUUUUCUGCAAUGGGCGCAAGCCUGACAGAGCAAUACCGCGUGAGGGAUGACUGCCUACGGGUUGUAAACCUCUUUUCUCAAGGAGGAAGAUCUGACGUUACUUGAGGAAUAAGCAUCGGCUAACCCUGUGCCAGCAGCCGCGGUAAUACAGGGGAUGCAAGUGUUAUCCGGAAUUAUUGGGCGUAAAGCGUCUGCAGGUUGAUCUACAAGUCUUUUGUUAAAUUUUCAGGCUUAACCUGAAGUCAGCAAAAGAAACUGUUUAUCUUGAGUAUGGUAGAGGUAAGGGGAAUUUCCAGUGGAGCGGUGAAAUGCGUAGAUAUUGGAAAGAACACCAACAGCGAAGGCACCUUACUGGGCCAUUACUGACACUCAGAGACGAAAGCUAGGGUAGCAAACGGGAUUAGAUACCCCGGUAGUCCUAGCCGUAAACGAUGGAUACUAGAUGUUGUGUACUUUAAUAGUAUGCAGUGUCGUAGCU